AUGAACGCUGGCGGCGUGCUUAACACCUGCCAGUCGCACGAUGAAGCUCAGCUUGCUGGGUGGAUUAGUGGCGAACGGGUGAGUAACACGUGAGUAACCUGCCCUUAACUCUGGGAUAAGCCUGGGAAACUAGGUCUAAUACCGGAUAGGAGCGCCUACCGCAUGGUGGGUGUUGGAAAGAUUUAUCGGUUUUGGAUGGACUCGCGGCCUAUCAGCUUGUUGGUGAGGUAAUGGCUCACCAAGGCGACGACGGGUAGCCGGCCUGAGAGGGUGACCGGCCACACUGGGACUGAGACACGGCCCAGACUCCUACGGGAGGCAGCAGUGGGGAAUAUUGCACAAUGGGCGAAAGCCUGAUGCAGCGACGCCGCGUGAGGGAUGACGGCCUUCGGGUUGUAAACCUCUUUCAGUAGGGAAGAAGCGAAAGUGACGGUACCUGCAGAAGAAGCACCGGCUAACUACGUG
RNAcentral lists this ribosomal RNA (465 nucleotides) under uncultured bacterium. Its description in RNAcentral is "partial 16S ribosomal RNA". It matches the Rfam family "Bacterial small subunit ribosomal RNA", at positions 29 to 507 of the family's 1533-position model. The record is from RNAcentral.